RNAcentral lists this ribosomal RNA (385 nucleotides) under uncultured bacterium. Its description in RNAcentral is "bacterial SSU rRNA". It matches the Rfam family "Bacterial small subunit ribosomal RNA", at positions 29 to 416 of the family's 1533-position model. The record is from RNAcentral.
AUUAAACGCUGGCGGCAUGCCUUACACAUGCAAGUCGAACGGUAGCGCGGGGCAACCUGGCGACGAGUGGCGAACGGGUGAGUAAAGCAUCGGAACGUGCCCUGGAAUGGGGGAUAACGUAGCGAAAGUUACGCUAAUACCGCAUAUUCUGUGAGCAGGAAAGCAGGGGAUCGCAAGACCUUGCGUUCUGGGAGCGGCCGAUGUCGGAUUAGCUAGUUGGUGGGGUAAAAGCCUACCAAGGCGACGAUCCGUAGCGGGUCUGAGAGGAUGAUCCGCCACACUGGGACUGAGACACGGCCCAGACUCCUACGGGAGGCAGCAGUGGGGAAUUUUUGGACAAUGGGCGGAAGCCUGAUCCAGCCAUGCCGCGUGAGUGAAGAAGGCC